Molecule: long non-coding RNA, 1220 nt
Organism: Mus musculus (house mouse)
Lineage: Eukaryota; Metazoa; Chordata; Mammalia; Rodentia; Muridae
Exons: 3
Source: RefSeq, a predicted model, not a curated record
AGAGUACAGCUUUCCUUCUGCCAAAUGCCUCCCCACGGGCCGACUCUGUAGGGCGCACACCAGGGCCUGGGAACCGAGCCCAGAAUCCUGAUGUUGUCCGGCAACGCGAGGUCACCAGAAGGGAAGUUGAAAUCAGAAGUGGUUGAAAUCAGAAUGGCUGCAGUAUAAUUUCCUAGUUUUGUGGACUAUCAUAUACUUCUGCUACUUGCUUGCUUCUCAGUCUCUGUUACUGUUUCCCCCUCCCUCUUCUCUGUGUCUCUCUCCCUUGCUCUCUCUUUCUUUGAUUCUCUCCCCAGGAUCUUACCAUGUAGCCUAGGCUGUCCUGGAGGAACUAGCCAUAUAGACCAGGCUGGCCUUGAACUCAGAGACCCACCUGCAUCUGCCUCCAGAGUGCUAAGAUAAAAGGUGUAUGCAAUCUUGCCCCUUUCUGUCUUCCUUCCUUCCUUCCUUCCUUCCUUCCUUCCUUCCUUCCUUCCUUCCUUCCUUCCUUUCUCACAAAGGUGGAAGGAGUCCAGAUGACACACAGCUAUGUAAGCUAUUGUAAUACACAUCAGUAAAUUGUCGUCUUGUACUGUUUAAGGUCACCGGGAACCUGGCGUCCCAGCCCGACUUUAGACCCAAGCAUUUUGUCUUAAAGCGUUCUCCAAGACCGCUUCCUCAGUCACCAGCCGGCUUCCUGGUCCUGUGAGAAAGUGAAAGAGAACAGCCAAAUAAAGUGGAAACGCUACUUCCUUAAGAACAGGAGAUUUGCUGUUUAUGCACUUGAAAUGAAAAGCAUUCCUACUGUGGAUCAUUCUCCAGUUUCAGACAGCUUUCUACCGACGAACCACACUCCAGCCCCUCACUAGGGGAUUCUAGCUUAGAGAGCACAGUCCAUCGUUAAGGGAAGCCAUGGGAGGAGCUCAAGUCAGGAGCUUGAAGCAGAAACCUUGGAGGAACUCUACUUACUUACUUCCUGGCUCACAUUUAACUGCUUUCAUAAUACUAGGAGGACCACCUUCCCAGGAGUGGUGCCAUGGGAGGUCCACCUUCCCAGGAGUGGUGCCAUGGGAGGUCCACCUUCCCAGGAGUGGUGCCAUCUACAGUGUGCUGGGUCCUCCCAUAUCAGUCAGCAAUCAAUAAGAUCUCACAUAGGCCAAUGGGAUUGAGGCAAUUUCUCAAUUGAGGCAAUUUCCUUCUUUUUACGUUGUCUUAGGGUUUCUGUCACCUUUCCCCAGUGA